Molecule: ribosomal RNA, 484 nt
Filed under: uncultured bacterium
Lineage: Bacteria
Description: partial 16S ribosomal RNA
Rfam family: Bacterial small subunit ribosomal RNA
Source: RNAcentral
AUUGAACGCUGGCGGCAUGCUUUACACAUGCAAGUCGAACGGCAGCUCGGGCUUCGGCCUGGCGGCGAGUGGCGAACGGGUGAGUAAUGCAUCGGAACGUGCCCAGUAGUGGGGGAUAGCCCGUCGAAAGCCGGAUUAAUACCGCAUACGACCUGAGGGUGAAAGCGGGGGACCGGAAGGCCUCGCGCUAUGGGAGCGGCCGAUGUCGGAUUAGCUAGUUGGUGGGGUAAAGGCUUACCAAGGCGACGAUCCGUAGCUAGUCUGAGAGGACGACCAGCCACACUGGGAGUGAGACACGGCCCAGACUCCUACGGGAGGCAGCAGUGGGGAAUUUUGGACAAUGGGGGCAAACCUGAUCCAGCCAUGCCGCGUGCGAGAAGAAGGCCUUCGGGUUGUAAACCGCUUUUGUUCGGGAAGAAAUCCUCUGGGCUAAUACCCCGGGGGGAUGACGGUAACGGAAGAAUAAGCACCGGCUAACUACGUG